Molecule: long non-coding RNA, 2971 nt
Filed under: Sorghum bicolor (sorghum)
Lineage: Eukaryota; Viridiplantae; Streptophyta; Magnoliopsida; Poales; Poaceae
Description: long non-coding RNA (SBIC_LNC013095)
Source: RNAcentral
CUUGCGGAUUAUUUCCUUAUUGCGUUACCAAAUAUCAACAAUCUCCUUGCUUGAUUGCUCAUCCUAGUGACAUUGAGUGAGAUUCAAGUGCAUUGCUUUGAGAGUUGCAUUUAGUGGCACUUGAUUUUUGAGUUUGCUGCGGAUUUCUUGUUACUCUUGGGUGUUUCCCGACGCCCUAGACGGCUUGGAGCAGCGGUGGUGUUGAGCUCGUGAUUGGAGAUUGUUUCGAGCCUCACCACGUGACUUGUGAGGGGUUCUUGAGCCUUCCCUGCGGGAGAUCGCAAUUGGCUACUCUAGUGGAUUGCUCGUGGCUUGGAGGAUCCCCAUCUUGUGAGUGGAUGUGCAGCACCCGCUGAGGGUUUGGCUUUGGAUUGCCAAUUAGCUCGUGAUCCAUCAAGUGGGUGUAUCGCCACAACGAGGAGUAGCUUGUCGGUAAGCAAGUGAACCUCGGUAAAAAUCUUGUGUCAUCUCUUGCCGAGGUUUCUCUUGUGUUUGUGCACGUGAUUGAUUGGAUAUAUUUCUACUCUACAAUGUCGGUAUAACAAUCACUCCCCUCUCCUUUACCUUUGUGUAUACCUUACUAGUUGUGUAGCUUGUUUAGCUUAGCUUUCUUGUUUAGGAGUGUAGCAAGCUUCUAGUUGUGCUUUCUUGUUGUAACUAGUGCUUAGCUUUCUUGCUAGAUGUAACACCCUAAAAUUUGCUUGUUUUUAAAAUAGUUGAAUUUGAUUUAUUGAGUCAAUUUUUUUUUGGAGAGCAUUAAAAUAUAGGAAAAAUAAUAAUUUUUGGGAAAUUAAAAUUCAAUAUAAGUUUAGAAAACUUUUUGAUGCAUUCAUGCUGCAACACUUUUAAUUUGUGAUGUGUGAAUUUUUGUAAAAGAAAAUUUGUUUAAAAUUCAAUUUGAAAGAAGCUUUGAAAAUUAGUUUUAAAAAAAUCCAUUUCUUCCUCCCUCUCCCUUCUCGGCCUGCUUGGCCCAAAUCGGCCCGCCAGCGCCCCAUCCCUCCUUCCCUCUUCUCUCUCUGCCAGGCAGGGCCCACCCGUCAGGGCCUUCCCCUUCCUCCAGCAACCGCUCCUUCCCUCUCUCUGUUAUCACGGCAGAGAAGGAACCGCCGAGCCUAAACCCGCUCCCCCACGUUCUCCCCUCCCUGCGCCUCGGCUUCAAGUUGGAGAGCCCCCCCGCGCGCCCGAGCUUUCUUCCCUCUCCCCAUUCCCCUCUCUCCCUGCCCCUGCCUUCGCCUUGGACCGCACAGCAGCCGUAGCGAAGGACGCCGCCGCCGACAUCCGCGCUCAACUCAAAAACCGAGCCGUAUCCGCCCUCGAUUAUCGCCGUGGUGAGCGUGCCUCCUUCCCCUCUCCCUCCUCGGCUUUUUUCCCGUGCGAAACCGUGGCCUCACGAGUUAUUUCCGCGAGCUCCGUCGGGACGUUCAUGGCGUCGCCGUGAACCUUCUCGGAAACCGCCUCCUCGACCGCGUUUAUGGGUUGGAAUGGACUCGCAUCGAUCUCCUCUUUCUCCCGGUUCAAACGGAAUCGAAAACCGUGCACUGUAGCUCCCGAUCCAUUUGCGCCGGCAAGCUUUGGCCGGAAUCCAUGGCCACCACCGUGUCUUUGCCCAGCUCUGGCCGGUGUGCCACCCCUCCCUCUCUCUCUUUUUUUUCUUUUUUUUCUUUUAAUCAUGCGCAUCCAAGCUUGAUCCAACGGCCAUGAUUAGAACUUACCCCUUCGUGGGGAUUUUUAUUAAAGAGCCCCUCGACUUCAUAGAUAUAGAACCCGCAGUCCUCGGCCAACUCCAGAUCCAGAUUGAAAUUUGAUUUAAAUUUCAUUUUCGACUUCAAAUUAAUUACAGAAUUGCCACUGCAAUGUUUUGGCCAUAAAAUAUUCGUUUUAGCUCCGAUUUGACCCGUUCAAAUUGCGUUAGAUUCGUUUUCACGAGAUCUACAUGUUAGUAAUCUUGGUUCAUCAGUUUGAAACAUUUUAAUUUUGUGACCCUAUUUAAUUAAUUAUUUUUCCAAAGAAAAUAUUAGAAAAUUCAUAUCUUCUCUGUUUUAGCUCCGAUUCGAUCCGUUCAAGUUGCGUUAGUUUUAUAAUUUCAUAAGCUUCGCGUUGGUACCAUUGUUGUCUAGGUUCACCACUGUUAGAUUUCCUAGUUAAAUACAAGUCCGUAGAUAGCCUCUGCAGUCCCGGUUAAUGCAUACAUUUCGCGUCGUAACUUCGUUUUUCGUGAAUUUCCCGUUGACGUGAUCGUAGCAGCGUGUAGAUGAUUUUGGAAAACUUUUAUUUACAUUUAUUUACUGCUGGUGUACUGUUCUAAUUGUAAUCUUGUUUGCUUCGUGUAUGUUUGUCUCCGAUUGCUUGUGUGUUGAUGUUUGGUGAUCGAGCCUAGUCAGUGGGCAUUACUUCGGUGAUCAAGAUCAGAGCCUUAGAAGCAAGUAAUUUCAGCAGGACCAGCAGGAGCAAUUGGAUCAAGGCAAGUAUAGCAUUUGGGUUUUAAUUCUAUGACCAUAAUCUUGUGACUAGAUCGAUAUAAAGCAACAAAUGAUAAUAAUGACUUUUUAGCAACUUGAGGAUUUAUUCGUAAGUGAUAACCGGGAUGAAAGUGCAACCAUGAGGGCUAUAAUGGCUCUGGCUUUAGUCAAGUAUGAGUAAUUUUUCUAGCUUGUUAGAGGUUACCCGUGUGGCGCAAAUGGGGGAUAGCAGACCGAGGAUUCCCUACGAGUGGUAGAAUCACACGGACUGACUAACGAAACCAAGCGGCCCUAACUUGUUAGACGAACCUUUGAAAGACUUCAUAGUGAUCCCUGCCGACCUACCUUGGUAGUGGGUUACGAGGCUGAUCACCUCAGGCGAAAGGAUAAAUCAUGACUCAUGGGUAAAGAUGUACAACCUCUGCAGAGUGUUAAAAACUGGUAUACUAGCCGUGCUCACGGUCACGAGCGGCCUUGGGAACUCUUACAUUAAGGGUGAUGAAUCUUGUGUU